This 301-nucleotide ribosomal RNA is filed under the name uncultured bacterium. RNAcentral describes it as "partial 16S ribosomal RNA". It matches the Rfam family "Bacterial small subunit ribosomal RNA", at positions 509 to 807 of the family's 1533-position model. The record is from RNAcentral.
CAGCCGCCACGGUAACACGGAGGGUGCAAGCGUUACUCGGAAUCACUGGGCGUAAAGGACGCGUAGGCGGAUUAUCAAGUCUCUUGUGAAAUCUAACGGCUUAACCGUUAAACUGCUUGGGAAACUGAUAAUCUAGAGUAAGGGAGAGGCAGAUGGAAUUCUUGGUGUAGGGGUAAAAUCCGUAGAUAUCAAGAAGAAUACCUAUUGCGAAGGCGAUCUGCUGGAACUUAACUGACGCUAAUGCGUGAAAGCGUGGGGAGCAAACAGGAUUAGAUACCCCCGUAGUCCCUGUCUCUUAUAC